GCGUGUGUGAGGAAGGCUUUCGGGUUGUAAAGCACUUUCAGCGAGGAAGAAGGCCUGGUGGUUAAUACCCAUCAGGAAGGACAUCACUCGCAGAAGAAGCACCGGCUAACUCCGUGCCAGCAGCCGCGGUAAUACGGAGGGUGCGAGCGUUAAUCGGAAUUACUGGGCGUAAAGCGCGCGUAGGUGGCUUGGCACGCCGGUUGUGAAAGCCCCGGGCUCAACCUGGGAACGGCAUCCGGAACGGCCAGGCUAGAGUGCAGGAGAGGAAGGUAGAAUUCCCGGUGUAGCGGUGAAAUGCGUAGAGAUCGGGAGGAAUACCAGUGGCGAAGGCGGCCUUCUGGCCUGACACUGACACUGAGGUGCGAAAGCGUGGGUAGCAAACAGGAUUAGAUACCCUGGUAGUCCACGCCGUAAACGAUGUCGACUAGCCGUUGGGACCUUUAAGGACUUAGUGGCGCAGUUAACGCGAUAAGUCGACCGCCUGGGGAGUACGGCCGCAAGGUUAAAACUCAAAUGAAUUGACGGGGGCCCGCACAAGCGGUGGAGCAUGUGGUUUAAUUCGAUGCAACGCGAAGAACCUUACCUACCCUUGACAUCCUGCGAAUUUGGUAGAGAUACCUUAGUGCCUUCGGGAGCGCAGUGACAGGUGCUGCAUGGCUGUCGUCAGCUCGUGUUGUGAAAUGUUGGGUUAAGUCCCGUA
This 700-nucleotide ribosomal RNA is filed under the name Halomonas sp. S3-2. Its description in RNAcentral is "bacterial SSU rRNA". It matches the Rfam family "Bacterial small subunit ribosomal RNA", at positions 399 to 1091 of the family's 1533-position model. The record is from RNAcentral. Lineage: Bacteria; Pseudomonadati; Pseudomonadota; Gammaproteobacteria; Oceanospirillales; Halomonadaceae.